Long non-coding RNA from Lynx canadensis (Canada lynx), 1730 nucleotides. RefSeq lists it as uncharacterized. The record is from RefSeq and is a predicted model, not a curated record. The transcript has 2 exons. Lineage: Eukaryota; Metazoa; Chordata; Mammalia; Carnivora; Felidae.
GCAACCACGGACCAAUUCCCCACCAUUUAAGAACUUUCUAAUAUUGCAGCCAAGCGCUGCGAAGACGAGCCACCGCCUUCCCACUCGAACUCUGGCGUUGCGAUGACCGUAGACCUGUGAGUCCUAUCCCAUGCUCUGGUUCCAGUGCUCCCUGCUUGCAAACGGUCUCUUGGCGUGUGCCCAAAAACUUUUACUAAUUGCUACUCUGGUGAAUCAUUGGCUUUAUUCUGUUAUUUCUGAACUUUUGACAGUUCUAACCUAUCAGCCUCUCAGGAAUCUGACCUUUAACCAGCCCACCUGCAAUUACCUGGUCUCCAUAGUGAGAGACUCCGGCUCUACCCCCAAAGCAAGGUGACCUUGGGGGAAGGAUCCUUUCCUUUCAUAAUAACGUUUGUCUUGUCCAGUCCCCUCCCUCUUCCCUCACCCUUAUGCCCCCUCACCCCCCAUUUCUGCCUAUAAAAGUCUUCCUCUCGUGCAAUUCCUGGGAGCUCCUUUCCGCUUGCUGGAUGGGACGCUGCAGCAUCGGUAACCAAAUACAGUCAAUGAGAUCUUCAAAUCCACUCAGUGGAAUUGUGGUUUUUAACAGUAAAAAUCAUUCUCCAAAAGGUGAUGGUGGAGGUGGCCUCUCAUUGGCUGGCGGCUGUUGCCAGGUAGAGAGGAAAUCUUCCUUCUUCCUUCCGCGUGGACUGCAGGAUGCGGCCAGUGAUCCUGACCUCCGUGGAGGAGCCCAGGUCUGUAGGGGUUGCCCCACCCCCAGCUCCAAAGCCACCGGAGAGAAAUAACACGCGGAACCAGCCCUGGGUGGGGUGGUGUCAGGAAACGGGGGCGGGGGGUGCCCAGGCCAUGUCCGCUGUGGUCCGUUAAUCUCUCCAGGCCCUGAUCUGGAUUUUCUUCUGAGACUCUGGGUUGUGGGAGCUCGCUAGUAACUGGGCAAAGCCAGGAGAUGCUGGCGCAAGAAAGGAAAUGACUCAUUCGGUCAGCAGCCCAGACUGCAGGGCCUGGCAGCAGCCAAGACUGCGGGCUGACCCGAGCUGCCCUGCAGGUGGCCUGCACAAGCAUCCAGCGCCCGAGAGCUCGGUGCCUGAGGAUCUCUGGCGCAGCGCACAGCCGUGGCCCGAUGACCACGCUGCACCUGACCUGGAAAAUCAAAUACCCAGGACAUAUGUGUCAAGGGAAUGCCCGGUGAAUGCGACAGACCAGAAAUGAGAUUGUGACCGUCUCUAAACCACACCUGAAAGCCCUGCCCACCGCGAGACCACCCCCAGGCGCCUCCGGGCGGCGCUGCUACAGGCCAAGAUGCCACGGACACACAGGCCAGCCCCGAGGGCCUUGGACUUGUGCACAGAAGUGCUCUGAGCGGCCUCUCCCUGAAGCAGUCAUGCCGCAAAGCCCACUCCUGGCGGACUGGCCAAGGAGUCAUUCCACACCACUCAAAGUCCCCCACAAGGAGCUGAGAAUGUUGCAGAACCAUUUGUGGAGGCUGGCUUUUGCUGUUGGGUACCACUUCCCAAGUGCAAGUGCCAGCCACCCUUCCUCCCAUCUCAGCGGCUCUCCAGCAUCCUAGAGCGCUCAGAGGGUAGAAACCUCAGAGAAGGGAGAACGGUGUUCUUCAGACAGCCAGCAGGCCCCACGGCAGGCCGUGGAACAAUGUCGUGGGUCACAACAGCCAGCGUUCUGAUUGUCGAUGGGGAAGAAUGGAGAAGAAAAGCAUCUCCACUCCCACAUGGAGG